This 158-nucleotide ribosomal RNA is filed under the name Fusarium proliferatum. Its description in RNAcentral is "5.8S ribosomal RNA". It matches the Rfam family "5.8S ribosomal RNA". From Rfam's summary of the family: 5.8S ribosomal RNA (5.8S rRNA) is a component of the large subunit of the eukaryotic ribosome. It is transcribed by RNA polymerase I as part of the 45S precursor that also contains 18S and 28S rRNA. Functionally, it is thought that 5.8S rRNA may be involved in ribosome translocation. The record is from RNAcentral. Lineage: Eukaryota; Fungi; Ascomycota; Sordariomycetes; Hypocreales; Nectriaceae.
AAACUUUCAACAACGGAUCUCUUGGUUCUGGCAUCGAUGAAGAACGCAGCAAAAUGCGAUAAGUAAUGUGAAUUGCAGAAUUCAGUGAAUCAUCGAAUCCUUGAACGCACAUUGCGCCCGCCAGUAUUCUGGCGGGCAUGCCUGUUCGAGCGUCAUUU